GUAGGGAAUAUUGGGCAAUGGUCGGAAGACUGACCCAGCCAUGCCGCGUGCAGGAAGACGGCCCUCUGGGUUGUAAACUGCUUUUAUCUGGGAAGAAAAAGGCCAUGCGUGGCAAAUUGCCGGUACCAGAUGAAUAAGCACCGGCUAACUCCGUGCCAGCAGCCGCGGUAAUACGGAGGGUGCGAGCGUUGUCCGGAUUUAUUGGGUUUAAAGGGUGCGUAGGCGGCUGAUUAAGUCAGCGGUGAAAGACUUCGGCUUAACCGGAGCAGUGCCGUUGAUACUGGUUGGCUUGAGUGUCGGAGGGGUACAUGGAAUUGAUGGUGUAGCGGUGAAAUGCAUAGAUACCAUCAGGAACACCGAUAGCGAAGGCAUUGUACUGGCCGACAACUGACGCUGAUGCACGAAAGUGUGGGGAUCGAACAGGAUUAGAUAACCUAGUAGUCC
Molecule: ribosomal RNA, 444 nt
Filed under: uncultured bacterium
Lineage: Bacteria
Description: partial 16S ribosomal RNA
Rfam family: Bacterial small subunit ribosomal RNA
Source: RNAcentral